Molecule: ribosomal RNA, 253 nt
Filed under: uncultured bacterium
Lineage: Bacteria
Description: partial 16S ribosomal RNA
Rfam family: Bacterial small subunit ribosomal RNA
Source: RNAcentral
UACGUAGGAGGCGAGCGUUGUCCGGAGUUACUGGGCGUAAAGGGUGCGCAGGCGGUGGCCUAAGUUUGCGGUGAAAGCUCCCGGCUUAACUGGGAGAGGGCCGUGAAGACUGGGGCACUUGAGGCUCGGAGAGGGACGUGGAAUUCCGGGUGGAGCGGUGAAAUGCGUAGAGAUCCGGAAGAACACCAACGGCGAAGGCAGCGUCCUGGCCGAGUCCUGACGCUCAGGCACGAAAGCGCGGGGAGCAAACAGG